UGGGGAAUUUUACGCAAUGGGGGAAACCCUGACGUAGCGACACCGCGUGAGCGAAGAAGCCCUUUGGGGUGUAAAGCUCUGUCAACAGGAACGAAACAAAUGACGGUACCUGUGGAGGAAGCAUCGGCUAACUACGUGCCAGCAGCCGCGGUAAGACGUAGGAUGCAAGCGUUGUCCGGAUUUAUUGGGCGUAAAGAGUUCGUAGGCGGUUUGUUAAGUCUGAUGUUAAAGACCGGGGCUCAACCUCGGAAAUGCAUUGGAUACUGGCAGACUGGAGUGCAGUAGAGGCUAGUGGAAUUCCCAGUGUAGCGGUGAAAUGCGUAGAUAUUGGGAAGAACACCGGUGGCGUAGGCGACUAGCUGGGCUGUAACUGACGCUGAGGAACGAAAGCCAGGGGAGCAAAUGGGAUUAGAUACCCCAGUAGUCCUGGCCGUAAACGAUGGAUACUAGGCGUAGUGGGUAUCGACCCCUGCUGUGCCGCAGCUAACGCGAUAAGUAUCCCGCCUGAGUAGUACGGCCGCAAGGUUGAAACUCAAAUGAAUUGAC
RNAcentral lists this ribosomal RNA (546 nucleotides) under uncultured bacterium. RNAcentral's name for it is "partial 16S ribosomal RNA". It matches the Rfam family "Bacterial small subunit ribosomal RNA", at positions 355 to 914 of the family's 1533-position model. The record is from RNAcentral.